UACAGAGGGUGCGAGCGUUAAUCGGAAUUACUGGGCGUAAAGCGCGCGUAGGCGGCUUUGCAAGUCGGGUGUGAAAUCCCCAGGCUUAACCUGGGAACUGCAUUCGAGACUGCAUUGCUAGAGUAUGGGAGAGGGAAGUGGAAUUUCAGGUGUAGCGGUGAAAUGCGUAGAUAUCAGGAGGAACACCUGUGGCGAAAGCGGCUCACUGGACCAUAACUGACGCUGAUGCACGAAAGCUAGGGGAGCAAACAGG
This 253-nucleotide ribosomal RNA is filed under the name uncultured bacterium. Its description in RNAcentral is "partial 16S ribosomal RNA". It matches the Rfam family "Bacterial small subunit ribosomal RNA", at positions 524 to 776 of the family's 1533-position model. The record is from RNAcentral.